AUGAUCACCGUGAGUGGGGCGAGGCCGGGCGCCACCCCGGGCUCCUUCCAUAAGGUCUUCCAGCUGCCAUCCAACGCCAGCCUCGACGACAUCGCCGGCCGCUUCGAGGCGGCCGUGCUCACGCUCACCGUGCCCAACCGCCUGUACUCUGGUGUCCCGGCGCCGACUACUGUCGUCGAGGAGAUUAAGAGGGAUAAACCUGGUGUGGUUAAGGAGGAUGGUGCCGCCACCACCACCGCCAACCAAAGACGUCGCCGGCGGUGA
RNAcentral lists this ribosomal RNA (264 nucleotides) under Triticum aestivum (bread wheat). RNAcentral's name for it is "partial small subunit ribosomal RNA". Lineage: Eukaryota; Viridiplantae; Streptophyta; Magnoliopsida; Poales; Poaceae. The record is from RNAcentral.